AACAAGUUCUUGGAAAAAAAGUUAUCUCAAAGAUGGCCCUAUGCGAAGAAAAGAUAUGAAAGUCUUACGGA
Molecule: non-coding RNA, 71 nt
Organism: Nylanderia fulva
Lineage: Eukaryota; Metazoa; Arthropoda; Insecta; Hymenoptera; Formicidae
Source: RefSeq, a predicted model, not a curated record